This 770-nucleotide ribosomal RNA is filed under the name uncultured Neocallimastigales. Its description in RNAcentral is "partial large subunit ribosomal RNA". It matches the Rfam family "Eukaryotic large subunit ribosomal RNA", at positions 24 to 628 of the family's 3401-position model. The record is from RNAcentral. Lineage: Eukaryota; Fungi; Neocallimastigomycota; Neocallimastigomycetes; Neocallimastigales.
UAGUCUCGCACAGAUGCAUAUCAAUAAGCGGAGGAAAAGAAACUAACAAGGAUUCCCUCAGUAACGGCGAGUGAAGCGGGAAGAGCUCAAAUUUGAAAUCUUGAAAGGUCACCUUUCACGAAUUGUAGUUUAAAGAAGUGUUUUCUGUUACGAUCGUAAUAUAAGUUCUUUGGAAUAGGACAUCACAGAGGGUGAGAAUCCCGUCUAUGAUUGCGAUUUGUAGCUUUGUGAUACACUUUCAAAGAGUCGGGUUGUUUGGGAAUGCAGCCCAAAACGGGAGGUAAAUUCCUUCUAAGGCUAAAUAUUGGCGAGAGACCGAUAGCGAACAAGUACCGUGAGGGAAAGAUGAAAAGAACUUUGAAAAGAGAGUUAAAUAGUACGUGAAAUUGUCAAAAGGGAAGCGUUUAACACCAGUGUUGUUUUCUGAAAAUCAACCUCUGUUAGCUUUAUGCAUGUUUGUUUAGACCUAAUCAGCUAUCUUGCAUGUUCUAUUGUUUGCAGUGGUGCACUUUUCAGUUUACAGGUCAACAUCAGUUUUUUUUACCGUAAAAAAGUUAAAGAAAGGUAGCUCAUGGCUCCGGUCGUGAGUGUUAUAGUCUUUUUCCUAUGCGGUAGGAGAGACUGAGGUCUGCAGUGUAGGCUAUUUGGCUAGAUACUCAGGUGCUAUGUGAUACCAUUUCAUAAACAACUUGUUGAUUAUGUUUUGUCUAUUGCAUACUCGCUUGUACUAUCAUACCUACGCUUAGGAUGUUGAGUCGUAGAGCACGCAG